UACGUAGGCAGCGAGCGUUGUUCGGAAUUACUGGGCGUAAAGAGUGUGUAGGCGGUGCUCUAAGUUUGGUGUGAAAUCUCCCGGCUUAACUGGGAGGGUGCGCCGAAGACUGGAGUGCUCGAGCGUGGGAGAGGAAAGCGGAAUUCCUGGUGUAGCGGUGAAAUGCGUAGAUAUCAGGAGGAACACCUGUGGUGUAGACGGCUUUCUGGACCAUUGCUGACGCUGAGACACGAAAGCGUGGGUAGCAAACAG
Molecule: ribosomal RNA, 252 nt
Filed under: uncultured bacterium
Lineage: Bacteria
Description: partial 16S ribosomal RNA
Rfam family: Bacterial small subunit ribosomal RNA
Source: RNAcentral